CAGCAGCCGCGGUAAUACGUAGGGCGCAAGCGUUAAUCGGAAUUACUGGGCGUAAAGCGUGCGUAGGCGGUGAGUUAAGUCUGCUGUGAAAUCCCCGGGCUCAACCUGGGAAUGGCAGUGGAUACUGGCUCGCUAGAGUGUGUCAGAGGAUGGUGGAAUUCCCGGUGUAGCGGUGAAAUGCGUUGAGAUCGGGAGGAACAUCAGUGGCGAAGGCGGCCAUCUGGGACAACACUGACGCUGAGGCACGAAAGCGUGGGGAGCAAACAGGAUUAGAUACCCCCGUAGUCCCUGUCUCUUAUAC
Molecule: ribosomal RNA, 301 nt
Filed under: uncultured bacterium
Lineage: Bacteria
Description: partial 16S ribosomal RNA
Rfam family: Bacterial small subunit ribosomal RNA
Source: RNAcentral